UUUUUGUAAAUAAUUUAAAGUCUAGUCUGCCCACUGAAAAAUUUAAAGGGCUGCAGUAUUUUGACUGUACAAAGGUAGCAUAAUCAUUUGUCUCUUAAUUGGUGACUUGUAUGAAAGAUUGGAUGAAAUAUAUACUGUCUCAUUAUAAUUAAUAAAAUUUAAUUUUUUAGUUAAAAAGCUAAGAUGAUUUUAAAAGACGAGAAGACCCUAUAGAGUUUGAUAAUUGUUAUUAUAUUAGGAUAAUAUAAAAUUUUAAAUUAAAAUAAUGAUAAUUAUUUUGUUGGGGUGACAAAAAAAUAAAAUAAACUUUUUUUAAAUAAUUUACAUAUAUAAAUGAAUAAAUGAUCCAUUUUUAGUGAUUAAAAGAAAAAAUUACCUUAGGGAUAACAGCGUAAUUUUUUUUUUUAGGCCUAAUAAGAAAAAGAGUUUGCGACCUCGAUGUUGGAUUAAGAUAAAAUUUAAAUGCAAAAGUUUAAAAUUUUGAUCUGUUCGAUCAUUAAAA
RNAcentral lists this ribosomal RNA (502 nucleotides) under Ornithoptera priamus urvillianus. RNAcentral describes it as "partial 16S ribosomal RNA". It matches the Rfam family "Archaeal large subunit ribosomal RNA", at positions 1920 to 2662 of the family's 2987-position model. The record is from RNAcentral. Lineage: Eukaryota; Metazoa; Arthropoda; Insecta; Lepidoptera; Papilionidae.